CCUGUCGUGGGUCCCACCAGGGAAUGAUUGGGCAGAGGCGCCAAGGUGAAAGUAUUCUUGACUUUAAUGCAAGAAUAGAGCACACCAAUUGCUCCACAAAGGUUAACCAACAUAGACUUCUCCAAUCCAACACUCCAAAUUCUCCUCUCAGACUCUCCAACUUCUCCACUCAGACUCCCACCCUGACAGCUGUAUCUGGUUCUCUUUUAAGUGGUAAGCCCCUCCUCCUGGGCGUUGCUCUCCAUCAGUCCAAAGAGAAAAUAGGGACAAGUGUUUACAUUGUUCAAGAACAUAAACAUACAGGAAUAAACAGUUUCAUUCAACUAAACAUUCUGUGUCGUGUACAGAAAAAUAACAAUAAUCAUCAAUAAAAAUAAAUACAAACAGUGACCGAUGCGUCACAUGACCCAGGGUGUCCAUGACCACUUCCGGGUUACCGGGUUACUUCCGGGUAAAAAAAACCAACGUUAAUGUUGGCGUCGUGUGUGCUUCGUGUUAAUGUAUGCAUGGGGAUGGUGAGUCGGCAACCUAGUGUGCACCCAGGGCUACCUGCAGAGGGAUAGGGACGGAAUGAAAAGGGUAAGCUGAUGUAAAUGACGUGUUACCGGGUCCGAGCGUGCGCGUCUAUGCGCACGUGUGUAUGUGUGCGAGCGUGUGUGCAUGCGUGUGCGCCUGCAGCGGCAGCUGACGGUUCUACACCGUCACAUCAUCCCCCUCCUCUGGGAGAUUGGCGAUGUGCGGCAAUCUGGACAGGAAAUCUGCCACUAUGUUUUGUUUUCCGGGACGGUGACGUACGUUAAAUUUGUACGGCUGAAGCGCCAGAUACCAGCGCGUAAGCCGGUUGUGGUGGUCCUUCAUGGUAUUUAUCCAUGUCAGGGCCCUGUGGUCUGUCUCAAGGUCGAAUUCUCUGCCAAGUAAGUAGUACCUCAAGCUAUCCAACGCCCACUUAAUGGCAAGUCCUUCCUUCUCCACAGUGGAGUACCUUGUCUCUCUCGGCUGCAGUUUCCGACUGAGGUACAGGACUGGUCGCUCUUCACCUGGGUCUCCCUGAGCCAGGACAGCACCAAGUCCGACUGCUGAGGCAUCCACUUGGACGAGGAACCUUUGAUCAAAGUCACGGGGUUUUUCUGCCUCUUCUCUGUAAGGGCAGUGAGAGGAGCUGCAAUGGUGGCGAACUGAUGGACAAACCGUCGGUACCAUCCAGCUAACCCCAGGAAGGAGCGUACCUCUUUCUUGGUGCGUGGUCGAGGGCAAUUGCGGAUAACUUCGACUUUAUCCACCUGCGGACGCACCUCACCACCUCCCAGCAGGUACCCCAGGUAACGAGUUUCCUUCCGGGCCCACUCACACUUGCUCACGUUUAAGGUCAGGCCUGCAUUUUGUAGUUUCCUCAGGACCAGACGCAGGUGAUCUAGGUGUUGCUCCCAGGUGUGACUGUAGAUCACCACGUCAUCCAAAUAGGCUGCACUACAGUGGUUACAUCCCUGCAGCACCCUGUCCAUCAGCCGUUGGAACGUGGCUGGUGCUCCAUGCAGACCAAAAGGCAUAACUGUAAACUGAAACAGUCCAGCAGGUGUUUUGAACGCCGUGUAUGGUCGACAGGUGUUGCUGAGAGGUACUUGCCAGUAACCCUUGCAUAGGUCAAGAGUGGUGAUGAAAUUAGCAGCCCCGAUCUUCUCCAGCAGGUCGUCAAUCCUCGGCAUUGGAUAUGCGUCGAACUCCGAAACGGCGUUCAGUUUCCUGAAGUCGAUGCAUAUCCGCAGUGAGUCGUCUUUUUUGGGAACGAUCACCACCGGACUGCUCCACUCUGAGUUGGACGGCUCAAUGACACCUAGCUCCAGCAUCUUCCUCACCUCAUCGUUCAGCCUUCCCACCAACUUCUGUGGUACCCGAUAAGGCCGUUGCCGGAUUGGUCGUCCAUCUUUGAGCCGUAUGGAAUGGCUAAUGAGUGUAGUUCUUCCUGGCUGUGCAGAAAAAAGAGAUGGCGUUUCACGAAAUAAGUCCAUUAUCUUUGUAGUCUGUUCCGGAGGUAAAUGUGACAGAGACGGAGGGGUUGAGUGAGUCAGUGCUCCCAGAUCAGAGUCCAAGUCUUCCUCAGUCUUCACAGCUCUGACUAGCAAAGACUUCUCUGUUGGAUGGUUAGCACCUUCCUUCCACUCUUUAAGUAGAUUCACGUGGUAUGUCUGCUUUUCUUUCUUUUUGUCAGGAUGGUGCACCUCAUAGGUGACAGGUCCCAUCCUGCGGAGAAUGGUGUAUGGCCCUUGCCACUUUGCCAGUAGUUUGCUGGUACAAGAGGGAAGAAGUAGCAGAACCUUCUGACCUGGACAAACUGGAUCACACCCCUUUCUGAGGUCUUUGUGGAUUUGGCCUCCCAGCUCUUCUUGAGGAGAUCCAGUGGGCCUUGGACAUCCCAGCCAUAGAGGAGUUCGAAUGCAUCCUCUUCAGGGUCUGGUUGAAACGUUCCACCAAGCCAUUGGUCUGUGGGUGGUACGGUGUCGCCUUGAUGGCAGUGAUGCCAAGCUGCUGUUGGAACAGUUUCAUCAACCGAGAGGAGCUGUAAUGGUGCGCAGGGGAAAAGCUUCUGGGAACCGUGUAGCAUAAUCACAGACCACCAGGAUGUAUUCGUGACCGCUACUGCUCUUAGUUUUCUGGCAGAUAGGUUUUGUGACGACCCAGGUGACCCGCCCAUGGGAGUGUGUGCGCUAAGUGCAUGACGAGUGGCCUGCAGGUGGUUGGAAGAACUAACCGUAGGUGUUCACCUUCAGCUGCAUACAGAACAUCAUCAGCAACAAUAAACCGCACAUUCCCCAAACAUUUGUCACUCUCUGUUGUCACCUUGGCAAACAAUGGUUUUAAAGUUUGGUCUUCUUUCUGCAAAGCCGAAAUGUCAGCUGGUAUGUCAAAUGUUUCUGCUGUUGUUGUGAUCUCAGGAUCCAGCAACUUAAGUUUUUUCUCAAACCGUCUUUGACGACGGGAUUUCCUGGGCAUUUCUUUGCCUCCAUCAAAGAAAUCGUCAUCCAAACGUGGAAGACUUUGCAUUCCCGCUUUAGCCUGAGCUCUAGUUAGCACAGGUGCUGAGACAGUAACAGCUAGCUCAUCAUUAGCUUUAGCUGUUUCAGCAGCCUCAUUUAAUAAGUCCCCCAACAUAGGUAAAUCACACCCCAAAAUUAAAUCAACAGGUAGGUUCUCUACCACCCCGACAGUCAAAAGAUAGGAUUGUUCAUUUAUGGUCACUGUUACAUCCGCUUUUGGGUACAAAUGUUGGUCGCCAUGAACACACACAACACUUGUUUGCCUGCUAUAAUCAAGUCCACCAAAAAGGAUUAAACUCUGUUUGACCAGAGAAAAAAAACUGCCCGUGUCCAACAUAGCAGUAACCUGCUGUCCGUUCACAGUCACCUGUUUAAGUGGCUGGAAAGUGUCUUUGUCCAUGUGCACAGGCCCUGCUCCUGUGACAGUCUCUGGCCUGGGUGCGUAGCAAGCACCUGUGAAUUUAGUCUUGCGGAUUGGACAUACGGAGGCUUUAUGACCAAUCUGCUGGCAAUAGAAACACACAAGGUCUCAGUGGAGCGGUUUGAAUGGGAAGACGCUGAUCCCCACCCGACGGCCGUGCAGACGCUCCUCGUCGAGCAUUGAGAUACUGCAGCGCAAGCCGGGCAGCGGUGAGGCCAUCCUCCGGGUCGUGCUCCUUCACCCACGUCCUCACGUCAGCUGGAAGCACACGCAGCAGCUGCUCCAGGAUGACGAUCUCCCCGAUCUGCUCCUUGCUGUGUUGCCCUGGGCGGAUCCAGCGACGGUAGAGGCCCUUCAGGCGGUGGUCCUUGUAGAUGUGGGCUUGCUGCUCGUCCAUUGCUGUGUAGGCCUCCAACGCCUUUCCGGACAGCAGUGGCACCAGGCGACAUGCCCACUCAGUCUCUGGCCAUCUCCACGUCCUGGCAAUCCGUUCAAAACGUAGCAGCUGGAGUCCUCCUGUGCCACUGGAUGCCGUUGACGGGACGUUGCAGCUGGUGUUGGCAGAUCCAACCUUGGGCUACUCACUGCGGCUGAGCUUGGUCCAGCGGCUUUGGGACUGAUGUUACGCCGCCGACCAGAAUGGUGCUCUGCCCUGGAAAAAGAGGCUUCCAAACCUUGGAGGGCAGCGAUGAAUCUGUCCUCCCGCUGCUGCUGUCCACGGAGGAAGUCUCUCAUCAUAGCCGCCAAGUCACCUUCUGGGCCUUUGGUCAGGCCUGGAGAACCACCAGAGGCACCAGGAUCUACCACCUCCUCCUCAGAGGAUGAAUUGGACAACAGAGGGACUGCAUCCGAUGUUGGUUCCAUCUCCUCCUUCUGGGAACGCAGACCUCUGUGUCUCACCUUUUUGCGGCCAGCCAUCUGCUUAUCCCACUUCUGACACCAACUGUCGUGGGUCCCACCAGGGAAUGAUUGGGCAGAGGCGCCAAGGUGAAAGUAUUCUUGACUUUAAUGCAAGAAUAGAGCACACCAAUUGCUCCACAAAGGUUAACCAACAU
Oryzias latipes (Japanese medaka) is the source of this 4508-nucleotide non-coding RNA. NCBI's taxonomy places the organism in Eukaryota, Metazoa, Chordata, Actinopteri, Beloniformes, Adrianichthyidae. The record is from RefSeq and is a predicted model, not a curated record.